UACGUAGGGUCCGAGCGUUGUCCGGAAUUACUGGGCGUAAAGAGCUCGUAGGUGGUUUGUCGCGUUGUUCGUGAAAACUCACAACUCAAUUGUGGGCGUGCGGGCGAUACGGGCAGACUGGAGUACUGCAGGGGAGACUGGAAUUCCUGGUGUAGCGGUGGAAUGCGCAGAUAUCAGGAGGAACACCGGUGGCGAAGGCGGGUCUCUGGGCAGUAACUGACGCUGAGGAGCGAAAGCGUGGGGAGCAAACGGG
Molecule: ribosomal RNA, 253 nt
Filed under: uncultured bacterium
Lineage: Bacteria
Description: partial 16S ribosomal RNA
Rfam family: Bacterial small subunit ribosomal RNA
Source: RNAcentral